This is a small nuclear RNA of Otolemur garnettii (small-eared galago), 103 nucleotides long. The record is from Ensembl. NCBI's taxonomy places the organism in Eukaryota, Metazoa, Chordata, Mammalia, Primates, Galagidae.
UUGCUUUGGCAGCAUACAUACUAAAAUUGGAACAAUACAGAGAAGAUUAGUGUGGCCCCUGUGCAAGAAUGACACGCAAAUUCGUGAAGCACUCUAUAUUUUU